This 1023-nucleotide long non-coding RNA is filed under the name Chinchilla lanigera (long-tailed chinchilla). RNAcentral's name for it is "lncRNA (ENSCLAG00000026761.1)". Lineage: Eukaryota; Metazoa; Chordata; Mammalia; Rodentia; Chinchillidae. The record is from RNAcentral.
CUCAUAUUUUUCCAUAUGGAGCCAUUUUCAUCGUCUACUCUUGAGCAACUUCACAUCCUGCCAGACCCUUUCUUCUUUGCCCUGACUUGGUUUUCAUUUUCCCUCCCCUUUCUUCUUCCUUGGUCUGCUACCAAAAAUAAGAACUAGAAAUAAGGGGAUUAAGUUGAUAGUCACAUGGACCUGUUUCAAUGCCUUUUCUCUACUUUCAGCCUACAAAAAGAAUAGGGCCAUGUUGUGUCUGUGGACCUUAGCAACACUAAAGGUAAGGACAAGAACCAUAACACCAGCCUCAGCAUGUGUACAUUUCCAGAAACUUACCUUGAACCAGGAUCAGGAGUAAAUCACAGCUUUCAGAUCCAUCUGUACUCCUCUCCCCAAAUUCGUUUCAUGCACGUAUCUCUUGUGUUGUCAACUGACUUUUUAUUUGACUUUUCAGGUCAGGCACUCUGCCAGCAGUAGCCAGAAGGAAAAAAAGAAAAGAGAUGCAGCCCAAACUCUCCAAGCAUGUGGCCCUCCUUGAGUACAUGCAUUUUGACAUCAGAAGCAUGUCAUAUAUCCAUCUUCAUAGCCUCUAUGACACCCAUGGAGUCUGGGUUGGCAGCCCAGUCUGUUGGCAGCCCCUAACAGAAAAUCAGAAAGGUAUGCCAAUAGUACCUCUCUCUCCUGGGAGGCCACAGGACCAGAUGCAUCAGCAGUACCAGGAGCACCAGCCACACCGGGUUCACCCUUGUUUCCAUCAGAUCCUGGGGGUCCAGAAGGACCUUGGCUUCCAAUGGGACCAGAGGGACUUACAGCACCACUCUCACCUGGGGCUACACAUUCCCCUCUUGCACCAGCAGGAUCAGGGAGACCAAAUUCACCAGGGAGACCCCUUUCUCCUGGUUUGGCAACUUCACCAGUUGGACCUGAAGGGCCAGGCAGAUCCUGGAAACCUGGAGAACCAGCAGGAUUCUGUUCACCUUUGCUACCUUGGACACCCCGGGGGGAUCCUUCUUACGUUUUAGAUAAAAAAUUCCUGCAAAC